AGUAAAUAUAAAGCAGACUUCAAGCUUUACAGACAUUUACUAUUUCAAUUAUGGAAAGCUAUAUCAAAUUACUGUUCUUUUUCCUCAUAAUAGUUGUCGUUGUUCCGAAUGAUGUGGACGGUUAUUAUGGCGGAGGUUCUCCGAUAAAGCCCGAACCUGGAAAAUGUAAAGGAGGGUUUCUUCAAAACAAUUACGAUGGGAACCUAGCAAGAUGUUUGAGUGAGGAAUACGUUACUACGACACAGCUGCCCGACCUUGAUCGAUGUAAGGGUGCAUUGCUUCAAUACUUUUACAGUGGGAACCUUGUAAAAUGUUUGCAGGAUAUUUUGUCACGUUUGAAACCACAUGCCUGACGACUUUGAAAUAUUGAUAGAUGCCAUGCUAAAUGUCCAUAACCAACAUAUUCCAGAAAGAAUACAAAAUUGCAGAAAAUGUCAAACAAAAAAAAAUAUGUUUCAUACAAUUAUAAUAAACUUAUACUGUUUUU
Molecule: long non-coding RNA, 487 nt
Organism: Mytilus californianus (California mussel)
Lineage: Eukaryota; Metazoa; Mollusca; Bivalvia; Mytilida; Mytilidae
Exons: 5
Source: RefSeq, a predicted model, not a curated record